Molecule: ribosomal RNA, 327 nt
Filed under: uncultured Neocallimastigales
Lineage: Eukaryota; Fungi; Neocallimastigomycota; Neocallimastigomycetes; Neocallimastigales
Description: partial large subunit ribosomal RNA
Source: RNAcentral
GUUGUUGUGGAGAAAUCAAUUGUGUGGAACGGGUUGUUGUGGGGUUGAGACCUUAUCAGCUCUCCUUACUCUUUACCUUUUUCACGCAAUGCACUUUCUCUUUAACAAGUCAACAUCAAUUUCUUUUGUUGUAAAAGGGCCGGCGGAAGGUGGCUUUCUUUUCGGAGAAAGUGUUUAUAGCCGUUGGUCUCUACAAUCGGAGAGAUUGAGGUCUGCAGCGUAGAUCCUUCGGGGUUAGAUACGUUGGUGCUAAGUUAUAAUCCUAUAUAGACAACUUGUUGACUAUAUUCGAUCAUGUAGCUUACUCGCUGACGCUAUUUUACCUAC